GACUCGUUAGUCUAGGGGUUAGGACGCUGGAUUUUGACCAUGAGUCCCUUUCCGGAAACAUCAGUUCGAAUCUGGUACGAGUCU
Non-coding RNA from Claviceps sorghi, 84 nucleotides. Lineage: Eukaryota; Fungi; Ascomycota; Sordariomycetes; Hypocreales; Clavicipitaceae. The record is from the annotation of a GenBank genome assembly.